GUGCCAGCAGCCGCGGUAAUACAGAGGGUGCGAGCGUUGUUCGGAAUUAUUGGGCGUAAAGCGCGAGUAGGCGGUCUGUUAAGUCGCGUGUGAAAGCUCCCAGCUCAACUGGGAAAGUGCGCGCGAAACUGGUGGACUUGAGUGCUGGAGAGGGUGGCGGAAUUCCCGGUGUAGAGGUGAAAUUCGUAGAUAUCGGGAGGAACACCAGAGGCGAAGGCGGCCACCUGGAAAGACACUGACGCUGAGAAGCGAAAGCGUGGGGAGCAAACAGGAUUAGAUACCCUCGUAGUCC
RNAcentral lists this ribosomal RNA (292 nucleotides) under uncultured bacterium. RNAcentral's name for it is "partial 16S ribosomal RNA". It matches the Rfam family "Bacterial small subunit ribosomal RNA", at positions 505 to 796 of the family's 1533-position model. The record is from RNAcentral.